CCUACGGGAGGCAGCAGUGAGGAAUAUUGGUCAAUGGACGAGAGCCUGAACCAGCCAAGUCGCGUGAAGGAUGACUGCCCUAUGGGUUGUAAACUUCUUUUAUCAGGGAGUAAAACCAGGCACGUGUGCCUUUUUGCAUGUACCUUAUGAAAAAGGAUCGGCUAACUCCGUCCCAGCAGCCGCGGUAAUACGGAGGAUCCGAGCGUUAUCCGGAUUUAUUGGGUUUAAAGGGGCCGUAGCUGGGUUGUUAAGUCAGUGGUGAAAGUUGGGGGCUCAACCGUAAAAUAGCAAUUGAUACUGGCAGUCUUGAGUGCGGGAGAGGUAGGCGGAAUGCGUGGUGUAGCGGUGAAAUGCUUAGAUAUCACGAAGAACCCCGAUUGCGAAGGCAGCUUA
This 393-nucleotide ribosomal RNA is filed under the name uncultured bacterium. RNAcentral describes it as "partial 16S ribosomal RNA". It matches the Rfam family "Bacterial small subunit ribosomal RNA", at positions 338 to 728 of the family's 1533-position model. The record is from RNAcentral.